GAGAAACUUACUAUUAUCGUGCUGGAG
RNAcentral lists this small RNA (27 nucleotides) under Bombyx mori (domestic silkworm). RNAcentral describes it as "ovarian small RNA-15663". The record is from RNAcentral. Lineage: Eukaryota; Metazoa; Arthropoda; Insecta; Lepidoptera; Bombycidae.